CAGCCGCCGCGGGAAUACGGAGGGGGCUAGCGUUGUUCGGAAUUACUGGGCGUAAAGCGCACGUAGGCGGCUUGGUAAGUUAGAGGUGAAAGCCCGGAGCUCAACUCCGGAAUUGCCUUUAAGACUGCCGAGCUAGCAGGUGAGAGAGGUAAGUGGAAUUCCGAGUGUAGAGGUGAAAUUCGUAGAUAUUCGGAAGAACACCAGUGGCGAAGGCGGCUUACUGGCUCAUACUGGACGCUGAGGUGCGAAAGCGUGGGGAGCAAACAGGAUUAGAUACCCGAGUAGUCCCUGUCUCUUAUAC
RNAcentral lists this ribosomal RNA (301 nucleotides) under uncultured bacterium. Its description in RNAcentral is "partial 16S ribosomal RNA". It matches the Rfam family "Bacterial small subunit ribosomal RNA", at positions 509 to 807 of the family's 1533-position model. The record is from RNAcentral.